GCAGUCGAACGGUAACGGGUUAAGCCGACGAGUGGCGAACGGGUGAGUAAUAUAUCGGAACGUGCCCAGUCGUGGGGGAUAACGUAGAGAAAUUUACGCUAAUACCGCAUACGAUCUAAGGAUGAAAGCGGGGGAUCGCAAGACCUCGCGCGAUUGGAGCGGCUGAUAUCAGAUUAGGUUGUUGGUGAGGUAAAAGCUCACCAAGCCGACGAUCUGUAGCUGGUUUGAGAGAACGACCAGCCACACUGGGACUGAGACACGGCCCAGACUCCUACGGGAGGCAGCAGUGGGGAAUUUUGGACAAUGGGCGAAAGCCUGAUCCAGCAAUGCCGCGUGCAGGAAGAAGGCCUUCGGGUUGUAAACUGCUUUUGUACGGAACGAAACGGUCUGCCCUAAUACGGUGGGCUAAUGACGGUACCGUAAGAAUAAGCACCGGCUAACUACGUGCCAGCAGCCGCGGUAAUACGUAGGGUGCGAGCGUUAAUCGGAAUUACUGGGCGUAAAGCGUGCGCAGGCGGUU
Molecule: ribosomal RNA, 520 nt
Filed under: uncultured Pseudomonadota bacterium
Lineage: Bacteria; Pseudomonadati; Pseudomonadota
Description: bacterial SSU rRNA
Rfam family: Bacterial small subunit ribosomal RNA
Source: RNAcentral